CAUUAAAGAUAUAAAGCAAACAAAAUUUCCGGCGAGGCUCAAUCAUCUCUCUCAACACCUUUUCUAACCACUAAUAUCCGACCACGAAAAUCUCUUCCAUUCAAAGAAAGUGCAGCAUCACGCUCUGCAGCAGACGAAAAUGACAAAAAGGCAUAGGCACGGUUCUUUCCAGCUUUACGAUCAGACAACACUCUUGCACUAACUACAAUCCCAAACUGGCUAAAUUGAUUCCUCAACUC
RNAcentral lists this unclassified non-coding RNA (239 nucleotides) under Hevea brasiliensis (rubber tree). The record is from RNAcentral. Lineage: Eukaryota; Viridiplantae; Streptophyta; Magnoliopsida; Malpighiales; Euphorbiaceae.